Molecule: ribosomal RNA, 405 nt
Filed under: uncultured bacterium
Lineage: Bacteria
Description: partial 16S ribosomal RNA
Rfam family: Bacterial small subunit ribosomal RNA
Source: RNAcentral
AUUGAACGCUAGCGGCAGGCUUUACACAUGCAAGUCGAACGAGUGGCGGACGGGUGAGUAAUAUCUCGGAACGUGCCCAGUAGCGGGGGAUAACUACUGGAAAGGGUGGCUAAUACCGCAUACAAUUAGAGGUGCCGAGAUCGGAUUAGCUAGUUGGUGGGGUAAAGGCUCACCAAGGCAACGAUCCCUAGCUGGUCUGAGAGGACGACCAGCCACACUGGGACUGAGACACGGUCCAGACUCCUACGGGAGGCAGCAGUGGGGAAUAUUGGACAAUGGGGGAAACCCUGAUCCAGCCAUCCCGCGUGUAUGAGAAGGCCUUCGGGUUGUAAAGUACUUUUGGCAGAGAGGCGGUAUCUGCAGAAUAAGCACCGGCUAACUACGUGCCAGCAGCCGCGGUAAUUC